AGCUUCUACAAUUUGCUUGUAAAAGAACGACGUAAAUGUUGUUCAUAAUUACCAAAUCUUAAUAAACUUUUUGUCAACAUUAACUAUUUUAGUGAUAGAAUCUUUUAUUUUGAUUUUCAAGUAUCAUUGCAAGCGCAAGCCAGGUGCCGUUCAACUAUACAACAAUUGUCCGUAUCGAGUGAAUAUUGCAAGUGUCGCGUCAGUAAAUUGUUGGAAAAAUGCGUGUAACCUCUAAGAUUUCCAUAUUGUGUUUACUAGUCGUAUUUUUUGCACUGUCCACGAGUGCUGGUCCACUGACUAGGCCAGUAUUGUCUAGUUCGACAUUCAAAGACGAAAAUGGACGGAUCGUCUCACAAGUAAAGAAACACGUCGCUGAAAUAUGUACUUGUCAACGAUUUGAACGUACGGAUGUGCCUACCGUGACGACGACGUUCAAAGGCCCAGAUGGAUUCCCUGUCACACAAAUUAAGGACAACGUCGUUGAAACAUGUUCUUGUCGACCCGUUGACGACGUUUCCGGACAAACUUUCAAUGUUUCUAUGGUCGACACAACCACAACCAAACAACCACCGCACAGUGGGAGCAAUUAAACGUUUAGCUGCUCAAUAAUAUUGGGUACAUGAAAAAAACCAGAAAAGUCAGUUUUUUUUAGUCUAGUAAUAUCAUGUUUAAAAAAAUUUAAUAAAAAAAGCUUAUAAGAAAAUAAUUAAAAAUGGCUACAAUCUAAAUCGUUAUUAAAAAGGGGCAGAUUUGACCAACUUUCUGAUAUACUAUUAUUACACUUAAUUAU
Molecule: RNA transcript, 790 nt
Organism: Adelges cooleyi (spruce gall adelgid)
Lineage: Eukaryota; Metazoa; Arthropoda; Insecta; Hemiptera; Adelgidae
Exons: 3
Source: RefSeq, a predicted model, not a curated record